This 253-nucleotide ribosomal RNA is filed under the name uncultured bacterium. RNAcentral describes it as "partial 16S ribosomal RNA". It matches the Rfam family "Bacterial small subunit ribosomal RNA", at positions 524 to 776 of the family's 1533-position model. The record is from RNAcentral.
UACAGAGGGUGCGAGCGUUAAUCGGAAUUACUGGGCGUAAAGCGUGCGUAGACGGUUAUUUAAGUCGGGUGUGAAAGCCCCGGGCUCAACCUGGGAAUUGCAUUCGAGACUGAAUAGCUAGGGUACGGUAGAGGGAAGUGGAAUUUCCGGUGUAGCGGUGAAAUGCGUAGAUAUCGGAAGGAACAUCAGUGGCGAAAGCGACUUCCUGGACCAGUACCGACGUUCAGGCACGAAAGCGUGGGGGGCAAACAGG